RNAcentral lists this long non-coding RNA (856 nucleotides) under Solanum tuberosum (potato). RNAcentral's name for it is "long non-coding RNA (STUB_LNC002230)". Lineage: Eukaryota; Viridiplantae; Streptophyta; Magnoliopsida; Solanales; Solanaceae. The record is from RNAcentral.
AUCAGUAUCCUCUCCAUACACCACAUAAAUUUCAAAUGGUUAUAAAUGAGACAUACCUUCAACUGCAGGCUGCAGCUUUACAGAGAUCAGUAUCCAAGUACUUACAACUCACAUUUCCAAAAAAUUUCAGCAUUUGACCAAGUCAUGAUUUUAGCAGAAUAAAAGAAAACACAGGAUUUUUUUAAUUAGAGAAACCCUACGUAUAACCCAUGGUGCAUCUUGUGUUACAUCUCCAACACAGCAGUUACUGUUGGACAGUCUUACGGGGCUAAAAACUAACAAUUUUUGCAAGAUAUUGCUGAAUGAAGGUGGAGAACUGAGGAACUCACCAUCACUUAUCUGUGGGCUAUGAAAAGAUGUUGACCGUUGAUUAACAGUGCCAAAGAACACAACAGUCACAGAAGUAACAAAAAGGAAGAAGAGUAGAAUGUAUCAGAAAAACGAAAAAAAUGUCAGCAGAAAAAAUACAGUAGGGGCAAGUGUAGCUCAAGAUUGAACAGCCAAAGAAAAUGAUUUGGGGUUGUUUGGGGGUUGUGUGUGGGAGUGGGGAGGGGAGGCGGCAAGAGAAUUAUAGAGAGAAGGGAAAAGGUUAUUCCAAACUUUACAAGGGAUCAGAAGAAAAAUGCACAUAUGGAGAUGAAGAAAAAAUGGGGACUUUCUCAUAAUCCUACUAUAACUUUAGCUUCUACUCAAGACUUUCUUCCUUUAUUCUGUGGCCUUCUACUUGCAGAAAUGAACAAAUAGUAUUUGGUUUAGCAACAGAGAUUAGGCGUCUCUUUUAUUCCGUCUCUUUAUUAUACAAAUGCCUAAUCAAGUAAGACAGCUAGGUAUUUUUUUCCAAAAAAAUAAGUUAGAC